This 29-nucleotide small RNA is filed under the name Bombyx mori (domestic silkworm). RNAcentral's name for it is "ovarian small RNA-23032". The record is from RNAcentral. Lineage: Eukaryota; Metazoa; Arthropoda; Insecta; Lepidoptera; Bombycidae.
UAGUCUGUUUUCGAUGUGGCAUCCAGCUC